Molecule: ribosomal RNA, 404 nt
Filed under: Verrucomicrobiota bacterium
Lineage: Bacteria; Pseudomonadati; Verrucomicrobiota
Description: Verrucomicrobia bacterium partial 16S ribosomal RNA
Rfam family: Bacterial small subunit ribosomal RNA
Source: RNAcentral
UGGGGAAUAUUGCACAAUGGGCGCAAGCCUGAUGCAGCAACGCCGCGUGAACGAUGAAGGUCUUCGGAUCGUAAAGUUCUGUUGCAGGGGAAGAUAAUGACGGUACCCUGUGAGGAAGCCCCGGCUAACUACGUGCCAGCAGCCGCGGUAAUACGUAGGGGGCUAGCGUUAUCCGGAUUUACUGGGCGUAAAGCGCGCGCAGGUGGUUUAGAAAGUCUGAUGUGAAAGCCCACGGCUCAACCGUGGAGGGUCAUUGGAAACUAAUAAACUAGAGUGCAGGAGAGAAAAGUGGAAUUCCUAGUGUAGCGGUGAAAUGCGUAGAGAUUAGGAGGAACACCGGUGGCGAAAGCGGCUUUUUGGCCUGCAACUGACACUAAGGCGCGAAAGCGUGGGGAGCAAACAGG